CCCUUAGAUGUUCUGGGCCGCACGCGUGCUACACUGAUGCAUUCAACGAGUCUAAAACCUGGUCUGAUAGGGCUGGGUAAUCUUUUGAAAGUGCAUCGUGAUUGGGAUAGAUGAUUGCAAUUCUUCAUCUUCAACGAGGAAUGCCUAGUAAACGCAAGUCAUCAGCUUGCAUUGAUUACGUCCCUGCCCUUUGUACACACCGCCCGUCGCUCCUACCGAUUGAAUGAUCCGAUGAAUACCAUGGAUUGAGAGUACGAAUAGGUUCGCUUAUUUCUGCUGCUCGAGAAGUGGAGUAAAUCUUAUCAUUUAGAGGAGGGAGAAGUCGUAACA
Molecule: ribosomal RNA, 330 nt
Filed under: uncultured eukaryote
Lineage: Eukaryota
Description: partial 18S ribosomal RNA
Rfam family: Eukaryotic small subunit ribosomal RNA
Source: RNAcentral